Clupea harengus (Atlantic herring) is the source of this 326-nucleotide long non-coding RNA. Lineage: Eukaryota; Metazoa; Chordata; Actinopteri; Clupeiformes; Clupeidae. The record is from Ensembl.
CCACCAAGGAAACGUACCAGAAUGAAUACACGUGCCGAGGGGCCCGACUCCAGCGUCCAACAUAUUCAGCGCUCAGUGAAGCUUUUAUAGCAAACAACCUUGUUCUGAAACGGAAAAUCCUUCUCUCCAUUUCGGGCUGUUUGGUUGUCGGCAUUGUCCUUAUUGUGCUGAGCUGUAUCAUUCUGAAGGUGACCCGGAAGCCAGUAGAAGAGAGCAAAACGGAACCAGACUUGUUUUUCACCAUGGCUGAACUAAAGACACAUAAGUGCCAAGAACAUUUCUCCUAUUUAUAAUUUUGUCAGCACGUUAAAGGACAUGGACACAAA